GAGUUUUUAGUAUAAGGUUUAGUAUUAUUAAUUGUUGAUUAAUUGGUUAUAAAAUUCU
This 58-nucleotide transfer RNA is filed under the name Spirocerca lupi. Its description in RNAcentral is "tRNA-Asn". Lineage: Eukaryota; Metazoa; Nematoda; Chromadorea; Rhabditida; Thelaziidae. The record is from RNAcentral.